UCCGGUUUGGCACCGGCAGUCUCCAAUGAGUCCCCGGCAUUACCCGCUGGCAACAUUGGACAGGGGUUGCGCUCGUUGCGCCACUUAAGGCAACACCUCACGGCACGAGCUGACGACAGCCAUGCAGCAUCUGUGCACAGGCCCCGAAGGGCUGCCGGGUUUCCCCGACAUUCCUGUGCAUGUCAAGCCUUGGUAAGGUUCUGCGCGUUGCGUCGAAUUAAACCACACGCUCCGCUGCUUGUGCGGGCCCCCGUCAAUUCCUUUGAGGUUUAGCCUUGCGGCCGUACUCCCCAGGCGGGGCACUUAAUGCGUUAGCUACGGCACCGCAGGGGUCGCUCCCCCCGGCACCUAGUGCCCAUCGUUUACGGCGUGGACUAC
Molecule: unclassified non-coding RNA, 378 nt
Filed under: uncultured bacterium
Lineage: Bacteria
Description: contains 16S-23S intergenic spacer region
Source: RNAcentral